AUUUAUCAGUACAAGAUUUCAUCUGAAUAUUUACCUUUCCUCCCAGUCCUGACCUCUCUCCUGCAGAACCUUCUCCAAUAAUUUCCCACAUGUUCUUUUUCUGCAAAACAUCUCCAGGUUUAACGUCCUGGAAAUGAGCAUUAGAAAGCAUUUGUUAAGAAUGACUGUAUUUUCCUAAAUCAGCUGUUGUACCCCAAUGUCCUUUUAUGCUGACCUGAAAUCCAAGUAAUUUUUCACUGAUUAACUGACUAGACCAUUGAGUUGAACUCAUUGUGAACCGGAUUAACAGACUUCUUGAAUUCAUUGAAAAUUCUAAGUUUCUCACAAAAAAAAAAAAAAGUUAUUGAAUCACUUCAGAAGACUUGGAAUAUGGUGUAGAAGUGGUGCUUUUUUUGUCCUUUUAGAAACUCGAAAGCUUCAGACCCCAUUCAUUGCAAGAAACCAUCACAGACUUCAGAAUUACUCCUUUUGUUUUCCAAAAAAAGAAAAUCAAAAAGAUUUGGAACAACAUGAGGGUGAGUAAAUGACUUUGGGUGGACUAUUGAUUUGACAUAAACCAGAUGUCAUAAUCUACUAUCACUCAAUUAUUCAAAGAUAAAAUUCAGUCAUACAGCCUUUUUUAUCGUCUUCAAAAGCUUACGUUUCUUCGAAACAAUGUUUAUUACAUCUGGAUGUAAUGAUCCAAGGAUUUUUUCUUCAGACUUUAACCGCUAGAAUUAUAAACCACAUGCUCACAUCAAAGAACAUUGGGGUUUACUGGACAUGAUGAUUGAUUAUCUGGAUUUUGGGAAAAUAAGUGAAGUUGCAGUAGCUCAUUCUACCACAAGGGGGGAACUUAAAUGUACCUUUGUUAUUAUACUAUAUUAUACUAUUGUACCAUGGGACAAAUACACGUAUCUCUCCCCAGCACAUUGGUUACCAUCUAAAGAUUUUCAAGGUUCAUUAAUAGACUUACAGAUGGUGUGGAAGGGGAUUGUCUGUUCCCGCCUUCUGGACUUCCUUUCACCCAAUGGUUGAUCAGUGCAAUUCAUGAGGUUAUGAUUGAUCUGGCAAACAUUUCCCAAGAAUUCCUACACAAGAGCUUCCCAUUGAUGGCUGUUCAUGUGCGUCAGACUCUGGCAAACCAAGAGUGUGGGUGUGAAUGUGAAAGUGUAAAGAGCAGAUGUUGUUCCACACUACAUGACGACAUGACCUAUCUCACGCUGCAAAGCUGAAGCCACCUCUUGACCUCCAAACUUGCACAAUCUGAGACUCAUUCAAAGCACUAAUAGAAGUGCCCUGACAUCACUGUUUUCCCUCAUAAGAUUUAAGGGGUGAUAUGAAACAGCUGGUUUCUUAUUAGUUUGACAUGUUCCUUAAUGCUUCUUCCACUAUUACUCCCAUAAAGACUUGAAGUACAG
This is a long non-coding RNA of Carassius auratus (goldfish), 1400 nucleotides long. RefSeq lists it as uncharacterized. The transcript has 2 exons. NCBI's taxonomy places the organism in Eukaryota, Metazoa, Chordata, Actinopteri, Cypriniformes, Cyprinidae. The record is from RefSeq and is a predicted model, not a curated record.